AUGAACGCUGGCGGCGUGCCUAAUACAUGCAAGUCGAGCGAACGGACGAGAAGCUUGCUUCUCUGAUGUUAGCGGCGGACGGGUGAGUAACACGUGGAUAACCUACCUAUAAGACUGGGAUAACUUCGGGAAACCGGAGCUAAUACCGGAUAAUAUUUUGAACCGCAUGGUUCAAAAGUGAAAGACGGUCUUGCUGUCACUUAUAGAUGGAUCCGCGCUGCAUUAGCUAGUUGGUAAGGUAACGGCUUACCAAGGCAACGAUGCAUAGCCGACCUGAGAGGGUGAUCGGCCACACUGGAACUGAGACACGGUCCAGACUCCUACGGGAGGCAGCAGUAGGGAAUCUUCCGCAAUGGGCGAAAGCCUGACGGAGCAACGCCGCGUGAGUGAUGAAGGUCUUCGGAUCGUAAAACUCUGUUAUUAGGGAAGAACAUAUGUGUAAGUAACUGUGCACAUCUUGACGGUACCUAAUCAGAAAGCCACGGCUACUACGUG
Molecule: ribosomal RNA, 495 nt
Filed under: uncultured bacterium
Lineage: Bacteria
Description: partial 16S ribosomal RNA
Rfam family: Bacterial small subunit ribosomal RNA
Source: RNAcentral